Molecule: non-coding RNA, 241 nt
Organism: Cinara cedri
Lineage: Eukaryota; Metazoa; Arthropoda; Insecta; Hemiptera; Aphididae
Source: the annotation of a GenBank genome assembly
UAUUUGCCUGUGUCUCGUUACUGUAGAAACGUUCUGUUUUAUAAUUAUUUAAUUCGUUAUAGAUUCUGAGUGAAGCACAUUUACUAAGAUUUUGGUUUUUAUUUAUAUUUAUUUGUGUCUGUAAACAACUUUUCGACCAUAAAUAUUGUUGUUAUCAAAAACUUUAUAAGUACCUUCUUGUAGUAAUUUUAAUCUAGUUGUUACAGUAGGGUGGUCAUUUGUAUAUUUUUUCUGUAAUUUU